CCCCAUUUCCCAAUCCCUACACUUAGGUUUCCUCUGCCCCUCCCCCCUGCAAGCCCAAAGGCUUUGGCAAGGGGGCAGCUGAGCUGUGGGAUACCAUUUUCCCUCUAUUGUUGUUGUUGUUGUUAUUAUUAUCAUUAUUAUUAUUAUUAUUAUUAUUAUUAUUAUUAUUAUUAUAACAGACACCAAGCUGCCGAGGCAGAAAGGAGCCGGGCGCCCCCUCUUUCUUGAAGAGGGCAAAAGUCAGGGCGCCGGAGCCUGGACCUGGAACGCCCUCUCCCAACCCCUAGUCUCAGCGUUUUGUGAUUUUAAUUUUGGCGGGAGGAAGUGUGGAUUGAGAGGAAAGAGAGAGGCCAAGACAAUUUGUAACUAGAAUCCGUUUUUCCCUUUUCCUUUUUUUAAACAAACAAACAAACGUACAAAAAAAAAAAAAAAAAAAAAGCUAAGAGGCGACGGAGGCCGAACGCAGAGUCCGGAUCGGAGAGAAAACGCAGUAAGAACUUUUAGAAGCAAUAAAAGGCAAAAAAUACUACUACCAAUAAUAAAAAGACACAAAUAUCUAUGCAAGGAGGUUCUGACAGAGCCUAGCGGCCCGGCCCGGCCCCGGGAUGCCCCUCCCGGCCCGCGGGUCGCGCCGCCCAAGCGCGGAUCUGUGCACUUUGGUGAAGUGGGGGCCGGUGCCGCCCCCUCCCCUCCCCAGGUUCUUACAAUCAGUGACUCGGAGAUUUGGGGCCCCAGUGCCACUGCCCUCCCCCCGCCCCGUCCCCAUUGUGCGUCAUGCUGUUUUUUAAAAACCUGUUUCCAAAUUUGUAUGGAAUGGCAAACUGUUGGGGGGGUCGGUUUGGGGAGGGAGGGUUUGCAUGAGAGACACACACGCACACCACACCGCACGCACACGCAGGCCCGGCGCGGGCGUCGAGGGGCAGAGGGAGGAGAGUUCUUGGAACCCUCGCUCCCCGCAGGCAAUCCUCAUCCCGGGUUGAGGGUGGAGAGGUUUUUUUGUCUGAGGCAUCCUCUUGGCUCAGGCUAGCAGGUGGGCAGGGAGAGGGCUGAGGGCUCCUUCUGGAAGUUUCCCAGAAAAUGGGGCAAAAGGAGAACCUCUCCCCACCGGAGGCAGAUCAGGCAUCCAAACACACGAUGCAAAAAUGCAAACCCACAGGCAACACACCCACACACUUACCUACACACUCACACGCAAUUUUACCUUCCUCUUGUAGCGAAGAUGAAACUCCCGUCGGACACCCGAAGUGCAUUGCGUGUUUCUGUUCAGUUUAAUGACGAUUAAUAAAUAUUUAUGUAAAUGAGAUGCAAAGCCGGACCGGUUUCUCACGGUGGCCUCAUUUCAUUUGGGGGAUUGAGCUGGGGCUCUGGGGGAUGGAGACACAGAGUCAAGUGACUGUACAGAGGCCAGGUACAGUGACCCUGGACCUUCCUACGUGGGAUUUCCACCCUGCAACCUUGCUCCCACCCAUCCACUGGGCACCAAAACAGCUACACGCACUGCCCCUCCCAGACCUUACACAAACUCAUACACACUCCUAGCACAAAGCAUUGCACUAAUCUCCCUACACUCCUUCAGUUCCCAAACAUGCACCUGUACCUCCUUUGAGAACAAAAUAUUUUUGCAUCACUAAGAAAUGACCCAGUUGGGAACAGCCGGUCAUUUUACAACCCUCUGCCCACUCUUGCAAAAAACAAACAAACAAACAAACAAAACAAGUGCAUAGAGAUAAAGAGACAACCAUUUGAGCCAGAGAGGGAUAUUUUUAAAUUAAAAAAAAUUCUAAGGUCAUGAGGAUGAAAUAUUAAUGUAGGAAGUCUUUUUAGUAUAAAAUUUAUGUUUCCGUGGACUCAGGGGAAUCAGCCAUUUUUAGUUUCAGGAAUGUUGAAAUUUGUAGUACUAUUGAUGAGGUUGCAGGUGUUCCCUGAGCUGUAUGAGGGGUCUGAAUCUAGAUCCUCAUCUGGAAGAAUGGAGCUUGAGGUCACCAUGAGUUUCCCCUGACAGGACAGCAGGAAACCCCUGGUCUACACCUGGACAGUCUCCUUCCGGCCUGGUGCAGCUCCAGACAGAGGGAACCCUCAGUCUAGGGAGGUGAAAGAAGAGCAUCGCAGAAGAGCUUGUUCUGCCCAGGCUGCUUCCCCAUCUCACAAGACAGCCUCACAAUUCUCUUUCUCUGAGCCUCACGGGCACAAGCAUCUCUGAACUGACUUCCCUGAAAGGACCCUCUCCAGUGGGCACUGGACUCCUGGAAUAUUUGGAGGAGGGGGUGUGUGUCUAAAUCCCAAAAAACACCACCCCGAAGUCUGAACAUGGUUAGGAAGACCGAGACUGGGUUGCUUCUGACGCUGCUUACUAAAAUUAUUUAAAACACACACACAAACACUGUUGCUUGUUUUAGGGCUGAAAUGGGGAGGGGGCGUGCUGUUAGGGCUGGAGCUAGUGGUCAGGCAUGCUAAAGGGUUUUUAAAGAUUGGAUCCAAGAGCCCCAAAAGAGAGCGCCCUGACACAAUCAGGAAAAGAGAAGGUAGUUGAAGAAGGAAGCCUUAAAUGUGAAAGGGUCGAUCGGAUUAUACUGUCUGGCCUUCAGUUUGGCGUCUCCCUUAAGUGACCACUUCCAAACACUGUCUCAUCAGUGGAGACGAUGCCCUCUCUCCUCCAACGGAGGACCGCUGCGGGGGCACCAAGGCCCGGGGCUGGGAGCUGUCCGCCCCCGGGUGCUGACUCUCGUCCAGUCUCGAGCCUUCCAGACACAGAGGGAGGCCGACUGUGCCCGGCCCCACGGAGGGGUGGAGGUGGGGGUGGGGGGAGCGCGGCACAGCCAGAGGCCCUUUUCGACGCGCGGCAGGAAUUCUGGGCAGAAUUCUGCCGUAGUUUUCGGAGAAUUUCACUGGAAUCUUCUCAAAAUUUCAUCUAGAAUUCUUACAGGAUCAUUUUCUCUAAACUGAGAUUAAGAAUUGAGCCCUUCCACCAAGGAUUCACCUCUCUCAGUGGUCUAAGGGAAUUUAAUAAGCCUUGGAGCCAUCCCUCUUCUGGGAGAAAGGACUUGACCCACCUUUCUCCCCCACGUCUUGCCUGGUGUAUGAAGCUAGGCAUAAAUUCCAGACUUAAAUCUGGAGUCUGGGAUGCUCAUGGCAUGGGACAGGCCUGGCAAGGACAACUAGAGAGAAAGGGAACUCGGCACCUAUCCCGAGGCCUGAAUCUUAUCCUGCCCUGGAAACAAGGUUAAUUGGGCUUCUCUCCCAUUCAGCCUGUUUCCCAGAACCCGCUCUGAAAUCCCGGGCUGGGUAGCAUCCAGGUGGCUUGGGGCCGGAAGCAAAAGACCCCUCCACGUGGCUUCCCUGGCCAGACCACAGACUCCUACUCCGCUUCACUCUUCCGGCUACUCCACGCAGCAUCAUUCGGCUUUUGAAGAUGGAUUCUAGCUCCUUCUGAAAGAUGUUGAGGACUCUCAGGCCAUUGCAUCAGUGGUCACCUUGGUGUGGGGGGGUGCCUGGCCCCCUUUUGGGGUGGGAAUCCUGCGUGCGCCUUCGCUUCCUGUGAAUUCCACUGCUGACAAGAGCUACCCCUUUCCCAAUUCCUGACCCUUCCCCCACAUUUCCUGCACUCUGUCUGUGCUCUAUCCUCCCAUCACCCCCCCCCCCCAGCACUCAACUUCCCUGGUGAGAUGGCAAGAUGAGCAGGAGAAGAAGAUGCGCGAGGACACGCGGCCCCAAACUCCCCCUCGCAGGUUGUUUCCUCUCGCUGGCUCUCCCGCUUGCAUGUACACACAGAGAAGCUCCAGGAACAGAAGGAGGUGUGUGUGUAUGUGUGUGUGUGGGGGGGAGGUAGAGAAAGCUAAAAGGGGCCAGAGCAGUAGGAGGGAGGGGGCAAGGGGAGAAGUCAUGGAGAGGAUGCCCUCCUUGCCCUAGCUGGAACAGCGGGAUCUCCAAGCAGGCACUAGCAGGCUCAGCUCAACCCCU
This 3957-nucleotide long non-coding RNA is filed under the name Canis lupus familiaris (dog). RNAcentral describes it as "lncRNA (ENSCAFG00000057025.1)". Lineage: Eukaryota; Metazoa; Chordata; Mammalia; Carnivora; Canidae. The record is from RNAcentral.